AUACGUAGGAACCAAGCGUUGUCCGGAAUUACUGGGUGUAAAGGGUGCGCAGGCGGAUUUGUGCGUCAAGGGUUAAAUACCUCGGCUCAACCGAGGAAAUGCCUUUGAUACGGCAAGUCUCGAGUACGAGAGAGGAUGGUAGAAUUCCUGGUGUAGCGGUGAAAUGCGUAGAUAUCAGGAGGAAUACCCGUGGCGAAGGCGGCCAUCUGGCUCGUUACUGACGCUCAGGCACGAAAGCGUGGGGAGCAAACAGGAUUAGAAACCCCGGUAGUCC
Molecule: ribosomal RNA, 274 nt
Filed under: uncultured bacterium
Lineage: Bacteria
Description: partial 16S ribosomal RNA
Rfam family: Bacterial small subunit ribosomal RNA
Source: RNAcentral